This 433-nucleotide ribosomal RNA is filed under the name uncultured bacterium. RNAcentral describes it as "partial 16S ribosomal RNA". It matches the Rfam family "Bacterial small subunit ribosomal RNA", at positions 29 to 507 of the family's 1533-position model. The record is from RNAcentral.
AACGAACGCUGGCGGCAUGCCUAACACAUGCAAGUCGAACGAGACCUUCGGGUCUAGUGGCGCACGGGUGCGUAACGCGUGGGAACCUGCCCUUAGGUUCGGAAUAACUCCCCGAAAGGGGUGCUAAUACCGGAUAAUGUCUUCGGACCAAAGAUUUAUCGCCUUUGGAUGGGCCCGCGUUGGAUUAGCUAGUUGGUAGGGUAAAAGCCUACCAAGGCGACGAUCCAUAGCUGGUCUGAGAGGAUGAUCAGCCACACUGGGACUGAGACACGGCCCAGACUCCUACGGGAGGCAGCAGUGGGGAAUAUUGGACAAUGGGCGAAAGCCUGAUCCAGCAAUGCCGCGUGAGUGAUGAAGGCCUUAGGGUUGUAAAGCUCUUUUACCCGGGAUGAUAAGGACAGUACCGGGAGAAUAAGCUCCGGCUAACUCCGUG